This is a non-coding RNA of Xenopus tropicalis (tropical clawed frog), 45 nucleotides long. NCBI's taxonomy places the organism in Eukaryota, Metazoa, Chordata, Amphibia, Anura, Pipidae. The record is from Rfam.
CCAAAGGCUCUUUUCAGAGCCCCCCACCUCCCCCAGCAAAAGAGC